RNAcentral lists this ribosomal RNA (474 nucleotides) under uncultured organism. Its description in RNAcentral is "partial 16S ribosomal RNA". It matches the Rfam family "Bacterial small subunit ribosomal RNA", at positions 335 to 800 of the family's 1533-position model. The record is from RNAcentral.
ACUCCUGCGGGAGGCAGCAGUGGGGAAUAUUGCACAAUGGGCGCAAGCCUGAUGCAGCCAUGCCGCGUGUAUGAAGAAGGCCUUCGGGUUGUAAAGUACUUUCAGCGGGGAGGAAGGCGAUAAGGUUAAUAACCUUGUCGAUUGACGUUACCCGCAGAAGAAGCACCGGCUAACUCCGUGCCAGCAGCCGCGGUAAUACGGAGGGUGCAAGCGUUAAUCGGAAUUACUGGGCGUAAAGCGCACGCAGGCGGACUGUCAAGUCGGAUGUGAAAUCCCCGGGCUCAACCUGGGAACUGCAUUCGAAACUGGCAGGCGAGAGUCUUGUAGAGGGGGGUAGAAUUCCAGGUGUAGCGGUGAAAUGCGUAGAGAUCUGGAGGAAUACCGGUGGCGAAGGCGGCCCCCUGGACAAAGACUGACGCUCAGGUGCGAAAGCGUGGGGAGCAAACAGGAUUAGAAACCCGUGUAGUCCCAUGA